Vicia faba (fava bean) is the source of this 222-nucleotide non-coding RNA. NCBI's taxonomy places the organism in Eukaryota, Viridiplantae, Streptophyta, Magnoliopsida, Fabales, Fabaceae. The record is from the annotation of a GenBank genome assembly.
AUGUUCUACUUCUCUCACAGUCCCACUAUCUCGUUCUCUGACUUCCCAAAUUCUUUCACUCUUCUCGUUCGCUCACUUCUCUCACUCUUUUAUUCCCACCCAGUUCUUCACUCAGAAAUCAAAGAUUCUCGAAGGUUCUCGCUAACGUGGUAUCACUCUCUCAGUUCUCUCACUCAGGUGAUUAAUGUCUUUGAACCAGUUCUAUCACUCUACAGAGAAUGA